Molecule: transfer RNA, 103 nt
Filed under: Penicillium digitatum
Lineage: Eukaryota; Fungi; Ascomycota; Eurotiomycetes; Eurotiales; Aspergillaceae
Also listed under: 1 other name
Description: tRNA-Leu
Rfam family: tRNA
About the family: Transfer RNA (tRNA) molecules are approximately 80 nucleotides in length. Their secondary structure includes four short double-helical elements and three loops (D, anti-codon, and T loops).
Source: RNAcentral
GCAAGUGUGGCCGAGUGGUUAAGGCGCUGUGUUUAGGUUAUCAUGUCACAUGGUUUCACAUCCACAGUUCUAACGAGCGUGAGUUCGAAUCUCACCGCUUGCA